Molecule: long non-coding RNA, 2473 nt
Filed under: Oryzias javanicus (javanese ricefish)
Lineage: Eukaryota; Metazoa; Chordata; Actinopteri; Beloniformes; Adrianichthyidae
Description: lncRNA (ENSOJAG00000000730.1)
Source: RNAcentral
GAUCACGUCACAAACGUGCUAGUUAUUUAGAGUGUCACUGGUUCCUAAAAUAAUGUAGAAACUUUAAACCAGUUCCUGUUCCUUUCACUCACGUCUGUCACGUUUAAACUGCGCUGAAGCAGAAAGAUCCGGUCCAGUCCUGUUCUGCUCAGCGCUCACGUGCAGAAAGGCACGAGCGCUGGUCCUUACAAUUGGGAAUUUUCCAUUGGUUUCUGGAACGUUCUGUUGUUGGGUAGAAAACGGCAGAAAGCCCCUUUUAUGGUAAACAAGUCUGUGAUUGGUCGGUUCAUUUCACAUAGAAAAUGUCAAGUUAAUCAAGUUAACAGACACUUCCUUUCAAAAUAAGACAAAUUGUGUAAUUUUCCAUUGUUUGUGGAACGACAAUCCACGAGAAGAGCUUUUAUUUUGAAAUCCCACAAAGGAUACGCCUUUAAUAUUUUUUCUGAUUCAACACCCGAACUUUGGCGAAGUUUCUGGAAGCAGGCUCCGUCUCCUCUAUAAAGGCGGGAGGCGCAGACCGGGGAUCGUGUCGGGGAGGCGGGGAUCCAUCGGCCGGAGCAGCACCUUCAUCCUGCGGCGGGCGGAGCGCGGACGGCGGGCGGACCAAAUGUUGCCGUCCAAAGAUGUUUCCAUAGAUGUUUCCGUAAAUAUUCAGACGCAGACGGGAUCCGCCGCUGGCCGCUUUAAAGCCCGUCUGCUAACAGUUUCCGUUACGCUCAGCUGAAGGUUUGGAUAAACCGGGACAAACCGGGACAAACACGGACACGUUAACGGGAGUUAUUCUGCUUCUGGGCUGAAGAGAAACAACAACCGAGUAGAAACGUGUCGUUUUGGGAGAAAAAGAGUCAUUUUAAUCGAAAUGUAACGCUUCGAGUUUAAAUUAAAGGAAACUUCUUUAAACCUCAGAUAUUGGAAAAACUCACCAGAAUUAUUAUUAUUAUCAGUAUUAAAUGAACCUCAGUAAUGCUGUACGUGAGCACCACUGCAGGAGUUUACUGUGUCUUUAUGGUCGUUUAUUAUGAAAGACUGCUGCUUUUAGGGGAAAAAGGAGAUAAAUCUAAGGUCAAAGCUGCUGCUGAGGAUCGGUAAAGAGGGCGUGGUCAUGGGGAAGUGGGCGGGGUCAGAGGAGAAUGUUCUGGAUUUUUCUAGCUUGACGACUGAAUGUAAUGUAUAGAUAAAAAUACAAUCACAAUUUUUAAGUAGAUCAAAAGAAAAAUAGUUCUGUAAAUUCUUGAUCAAAUAAGAAUGUGGGGCCAAAGUCAAUACACGUUUAUUUGUCCAUAUUUGAAUGAUUUUGAACAUUAUUUUAUUUAUUUAUUUUUUCCAAACAUUCUUUCAAACUACUCAAAAACGAAAUUUUGUUGACAUAUUUGUGGAGAUGAAUUUUAAUGUCGUCUUGAACAAUAAACAACUGUUAACAUUUUAACAAAAAAGUGUAAUUAACAAAAAAUUGAGAUAUUGUCGAAAUUUUGCAUUUCCAAGUAUUUUUUAGUAAGUGUUAUUUUGAUAAAUAUUUUGGUUUAAAGCAUUGAAAAACCCUUUAAACAAAGGAAAGUGGGCGUGGAUAAGUCUGUGAUGCACUGAAAUACUAAAGCUACUUGAGGUUUAUGUUGUGUAAACUGGUGCUGAAUUUUAAUCCCAAUAAAAAUGUUUGUUUUUUAAAGAGACUAAAUUCCAUAUUUUACUUUAAGUGUUAGAGUAUUAGAAAAGCAGAUUUGAAUAUGAUAAAUACAAUAUUAAAGUGGUUUAUUUAUGGUUGAGAUUAACCAUCAGAGAUAAACUAAUCGGUUUAUAUUCAUACGGUUUACUUUCUGUCAAAGAUAUUUAAUAACGUGUGUAUUAUUACUGUAAUAAACAUCAAACUGUGUUUUUGGAUUUGGUGGUUUUUCAGGUGAAACUCUGAGCUGCUAUAGAUGUAUCGUAGAUGUGGAUAUAAUAUUUAUUUCAUGUAUAAACUCACAUGUUUACAUAAGUGUUUGUGUCUCUACAAAUAAAUAACUACAAUCUAUUCCUAAACUGAAGUGUUGUACAUCAUGUUGCAUGACCACCGUUGGUCGCUCUGGUUCCAGACUGAACAGAUCAGUCUUCUGAUCGAGUCACUACCUGAUUAGGAUCAAUAUCAUUUUUUAAAUAUUCUCUGGGUUAAAAUAAACAUUAAAGUAGAUUUUAUACCAUCAGGCUGAUAAAUUACUGUAAAGUGAAUCAUUAAAGAAACUUCUCAUGAUGUACUGAGAUCAGGUUUUUCCUUUUAUUGCUGAUUAAUAAUUAUAAUGAGAAACUGCUGCUUGGAUCUGCAAAAAUCAUCUAAAAAAAGACAGACCUGCUGCUGAAAAUGAGUGAAAAAGAGGGUGUGGUCAAUGUGUGCAUCUUAGAACAAAUGGGCGGAGUCAGGAAGAAUGUUGCGGCUGACCUAAAGAGGUAAAGUACCGGAACCAUACGUCACAAGCUGAAUGUGACUGUAUAAGAAAUGUGU